AACUUAUAUAUCGUUUCUUCAUUAACUGUGAAAAUUAUCAAAAGACUUUAAAUAAGUCAUUGUCGAAAACGCGAUGAAAAAAUUCGCACGCAUGGCGAAGUUCUGAGUUGUUAAACUUGCGCAUUCUCACCUGUUGAAAAAAUCAAUAACUCGGUCAAGUGCGACCUCCGGUUUUCAUGGAAACCCUACUGUGACGUCACGUUAGUGAGACAUAGCUGGAGCAUCAAGCGACUCCGAAGACUCCAGGUUUUCGGUAUCACUUUCAUGUUAAUCCUUGAGCUUUGAUGAAGAUUUUGACAAUUGUUUAGAGACACUUGCAGUGGCUCCGUAUCAGUUUGAACCGUAUUUAGACCCUGACACAGAACAUCCAACUCAACAAAGUCAGGAUGAUCAUGAUGAUGGGAAUCCCGAUAAUAGUCGGCUUAACAACACUGAUUGGUGCAGCUGUGGACAUUGUAUACAGAUGCCUUUAGCAAAGGAAUGUGUCUGCUGCAAAGAAACAAAGGUCCUCUUAGAUCUUAUGAAAAAUGAUGGUGUUCAGUGUAUAACAGACCACCCAGGAUUUGAACCAGUGUGCUUGAAUACAUAUGUACUGGACACAGCAUACAAGCAAUAUAAGCAACAGUACAAUCAUCAAAUUCAGAAUCUUCCAGAGCGAUACAGGUACACUGCCUAAAGAUAGCUUGUGAGAUGGGCCUAGGAAAGCAUGUAAGAGUGGUUUUGCCAUCAUGUGCUCUCAAGAAAAUCAGAGGCAGAUUCCCAUCUCCACACGAGGACUA
This is a long non-coding RNA of Saccostrea cuccullata (small rock oyster), 779 nucleotides long. RefSeq lists it as uncharacterized. The transcript is spliced from 3 exons. NCBI's taxonomy places the organism in Eukaryota, Metazoa, Mollusca, Bivalvia, Ostreida, Ostreidae. The record is from RefSeq and is a predicted model, not a curated record.